Molecule: long non-coding RNA, 1986 nt
Organism: Ailuropoda melanoleuca (giant panda)
Lineage: Eukaryota; Metazoa; Chordata; Mammalia; Carnivora; Ursidae
Exons: 3
Source: RefSeq, a predicted model, not a curated record
UUCAGUUACAAAAGUUUAAAGGGGAGAGCCACAAAACCACCUUAAAUGUCCCCUUUCAUCAUAAGAAAAAAAAAGAAAAGAAAAAGAAAAAGAAAGGCCAUUCUAUGAAAUACUUGAUAAUGCUACUCUGAUAAGUCUGAAGAAGUGUGAGUCAGUACAGAAUCAUUCUCUCAACUCGGAACAAAAAACUUCAUGGAAUUACUAUGAUUUUAAUCCAAAGAGUUGGGUGUUUGGCAUUCCACAGAGCUUUGGGGUGUCCUACCAACCAGGGGAGCCACUCAUGAAAACAACCUAUUGUUGAAUUUUUGGUCUUGGCUCUAUUGGGUUGAUAAAUAGCAGUCAAUUUUUAUUAAGACCCUUCUUGAUUGGAGAAAGGAUUAGUGGAUUAAGGUGGGGUCACAUUCUAGCAGAGUUGACUGGUUGGAGUCAUGGAUUGAACAACAAGAAACUUGAAUCUCAAAACAAAUGAAGAUGCCGUGCUCUUUUAGACACUCCUGACAGGAGAAAAACAUCCUAAAACUCUUAGGAAUCUUGAAAUACCACUGUCCAGUUCCUUUACAUUCAGUGGAACAGACUGUAUUAAUAUUAUUGUUGUUAAUGCUUGCUGCUAUAACAAGUAAACCCAGAAUUACAUAAAGACUCAAACAUGGAAGAAGUUUACUUUUCUUUCAGAUAAAAGAUGAGAUGGCUGAUCCCGAUUGAUACACAGCUCUCUUUCAAAUCAUGACUCCAGGAUGCAGGUUUCUUCCAUCAUCAACACUUGGCUUCCAAAACCGUCAUCCUGAAUCUGUGUCAAACAAAUGGAAAAGGAAAGAACAUGAUGAGUGGUAUAGGAGAGAUUUUUUAGGGCCAGGUCUUAAAGUGAAGUCUAUCUCUUAGGUUCAAAUUCCUCUGGCUAGAGCUCAGUCCUACCACAGCUGGUGGAAAAGGCAGGUGGGCGUGUAGUCUAGCUCUGAGACAAGGAAACAUAGGAUAUAGGCUAAGGGAACAGCUAAUCCUACUAUGUUUUCUUAGCUGAAAAAUCCUACUUGCUUAGUACACUUUCACUGAUGUUUGGCUUUAUGAGCAAAUGCACUGGAACAUGGUAGGGAGAAGACUUAGCUAUUUACAGACAUGUGAAUCAGAGCACAGCUCCCGUGCAACUCAAGAGCGUCUCAGGGUGGGUUCUACUGAUAGAUGAAUGGACAUCUAGAGGUGCCUGUUUGGAAACUAAGACUCUGAAAAGAGAGGAAGAGGGUGUCAGGAGGAGGCAGCGAAGCAUUAUCCUGGUCAGAGGUUACCACCUGCAGGAGCACUAGAAACCUGGGAUACUUUUCCAGCUGUUGUUUUAGCUAAGAUCUAGGAUGUGGACAACUGUCAUCACCAUAGUAUAAGAAUGAUGGCAGCCCUGGGGUUAAAAAUUGCAAGCCCGAGCAAAGUUGCAUUUGUCUGUUCCCAAACCUGUAUUAUUUCCAUCUAUCAUUUCGCUCCAGUCAGGCAAACUGAUUUAUUAGUUAUAGCCUCUGAACCUCAAUUAAUUUCACUUAGGGCAUUUUCACACUUGUACAAUAAAUGUUUGAAUUAAGACAUUUCUUUUCUUCUGAAAUUGAAUUGCAUGUUAACUGGUUAUUGGCUGUCGCUGGUGGUCUACACAAUUACAGAUAAGAGCAUUGAUCUGGCAAGAAAACAAAUUGGUUCCUAAAAGCGGGCAGUUUGGAUUUGACAGCUGCAGAUGAUUACGUGUCUCUCUAAUGGAUACUGUGCAUUACCAUUGGAGGUGUGAAAGAUCUGCAAAUCCCUUUCCUUGGUUGGCUGCUUCUACCAAGGCUGCUUAAAUCUGCCUACCCCCUUCCGUGCAGAUGGCUGAAUUGACUGAUAGGGAACAGUGCCCCAAAUGAACUGAAUGGCUGGUGAGUUACUGAUAUCUAGAUCACACCUUGAGAUAGGCGUAAGUUUCUGAAAGAAGCCUUCUUGAUUUGAGCAGAUAGCCUUAGAAGUGAGGUUGGU